CUUCAGAUGGCCGAGAAAUAAGCAAUAGAUUUUUAAUCUGUGAACGAUAUUUUAUAUCUCUGAGGA
This 66-nucleotide transfer RNA is filed under the name Neomphalidae sp. Hatoma. RNAcentral's name for it is "tRNA-Lys". The record is from RNAcentral. Lineage: Eukaryota; Metazoa; Mollusca; Gastropoda; Neomphalida; Neomphalidae.